AGAAAAUUGACAUGCAAUUUAAAAUUAUAGCAGGUCCCGUCUACAAACAUGGUAGAGCCUUUAACUUCUGAUUGGCUGGGUGUAUAAAUUUCUCAACGAUAAAUUUCACACAGGCAGCGGGGUGCUCUUCGCUGGAAUCUGAGAAGUUUCAUUGUGGAUGCUAAUAUCAAAAUUGGUCGCUGAUUUAGCAUCAUCAGCGUUCGCAAAAUCAAGGGUGCCAUUUUUAUUCUCAUCUGUCAAUGCUGGUGUUGUUGAGAUUGUCCGAUCCUUGCUUUUACCCCACACAA
This 287-nucleotide unclassified non-coding RNA is filed under the name Hevea brasiliensis (rubber tree). Lineage: Eukaryota; Viridiplantae; Streptophyta; Magnoliopsida; Malpighiales; Euphorbiaceae. The record is from RNAcentral.